GAUUGCCUUAUCCCUUUGAAUUCUUGCCCACGCUAAUAAAUGAUGUAUCACUUGAUGCUGAAUAGCCUAUAGAUAAUACCCCCUGGUUUUAUCUUCUGCAGAACAUGAACAACCAACUAUAAAAACUGUUGAUAAGAGACCUUUACUGAGAUAUGGAUCAUAGCGUAAAGCCAUCUCUCCUCAAUGUAGGUUGGAUCCUACAUAUUUCUGCAUUGAAUAAUUGAUACAUCCAGAAGAGUACACUAUAAAUGACACCAAACCUGGAGAUGG
RNAcentral lists this long non-coding RNA (270 nucleotides) under Phoenix dactylifera (date palm). RNAcentral's name for it is "long non-coding RNA (PDAC_LNC020475)". Lineage: Eukaryota; Viridiplantae; Streptophyta; Magnoliopsida; Arecales; Arecaceae. The record is from RNAcentral.